This 699-nucleotide ribosomal RNA is filed under the name Triticum aestivum (bread wheat). Its description in RNAcentral is "partial small subunit ribosomal RNA". The record is from RNAcentral. Lineage: Eukaryota; Viridiplantae; Streptophyta; Magnoliopsida; Poales; Poaceae.
AUGGCCGACAACAUGGUCCCCGGAGAGAGCGAGGUGGUGUUCGUCGACUUCUGGGCCAACCUGUUUGGCAUGCGGGUUCUGAUAGCCCUGCGCGAGUUAGGCAUGUCGUUCGAGUACAUCGAGGAGGACCUCAGCAUCCGCAAGAAGAGUGACCUGGUGCUGCGCAUGAACCCGGUGUACCGGAUGGUGCCCAUCCUCAUCCACCGUGGCCAUCCCAUCUGCAACUCCAUCAACAUCCUUGAGUACAUCGACGAGGUCUGGGGUCACCGUCACGCCGAAGCAGGUGGAACACAGUUGCUCCCUGCCGACCCGCUGGAGAGGGCUUCCGCCCGGUUCUGGGCCGAUUUCGUUGACCACAAGGUGUUCAACACGGAGAUGAGGCUGUUCAAGAGCAAAGGCGAUGAUGAGAAAGAAGCCGCAAAGGGGGAGCUAAUCCGCCAACUCAGGCAACUCGAGGGGGCGCUUGGAGACAAGAACUUCUUCUCCGGCGAUGAGUUCGGAUUUCUGGACAUUGUCGUCAUCCCGUUAUCGAGCAUGUUUCGAGCGUAUGAACAACAAGGAACGUUUGAUCUUGAGGUGGAGUGUCCCAAGCUGAUGCGGUGGGAGAAGCGGUGCAAGGAGAGGGAGAGCGUCAGGAGUACUCUUCCAGAUGAGGAGGAGGUGUACAGGAUGCACAAGAAGUGGUACGGCAUAGAGUGA